This 227-nucleotide ribosomal RNA is filed under the name uncultured bacterium. Its description in RNAcentral is "partial 16S ribosomal RNA". It matches the Rfam family "Bacterial small subunit ribosomal RNA", at positions 90 to 334 of the family's 1533-position model. The record is from RNAcentral.
CGUUAGUGGCGGACGGGUGAGUAACACGUGGGAACGUGCCUUUUGGUUCGGAACAACUCAGGGAAACUUGAGCUAAUACCGAAUGUGCCCUUCGGGGGAAAGAUUUAUCGCCAUUAGAGUGGCCCGCGUCUGAUUAGCUAGUUGGUGAGGUAAAGGCUCACCAAGGCUACGAUCAGUAGCUGGUCUGAGAGGAUGAUCAGCCACACUGGGACUGAGACACGGCCCAG